AUUGAACGCUGGCGGCAGGCCUAACACAUGCAAGUCGAACGGUAACAGGAAACAGCUUGCUGUUUCGCUGACGAGUGGCGGACGGGUGAGUAAUGUCUGGGAAACUGCCUGAUGGAGGGGGAUAACUACUGGACACGGUAGCUAAUACAGCAUAACGUCGCAAGACCAAACAGGGGCGCCUUCGGGCCUCUUGCCAUCGGAUGUGCCCAGAUGGGAUUAGCUAGUAGGUGGGGUAACGGCUCACCUAGGCGACGAUCCCUAGCUGGUCUGAGACGAUGACCAGCCACACUGGAACUGAGACACGGUCCAGACUCCUACGGGAGGCAGCAGUGGGGAAUAUUGCACAAUGGGCGCAAGCCUGAUGCAGCCAUGCCGCGUGUAUGAAGAAGGCCUUCGGGUUGUAAAGUACUUUCAGCGGGGAGGAAGGGAGUAAAGUCAAUACCUUUGCUCAUUGACGUUACCCGCAGAAGAAGCACCGGCUAACUCCGUGCCAGCCGCCGCUGUAA
This 506-nucleotide ribosomal RNA is filed under the name uncultured bacterium. RNAcentral's name for it is "partial 16S ribosomal RNA". It matches the Rfam family "Bacterial small subunit ribosomal RNA", at positions 30 to 523 of the family's 1533-position model. The record is from RNAcentral.